This 245-nucleotide ribosomal RNA is filed under the name uncultured Syntrophomonas sp. RNAcentral's name for it is "partial 16S ribosomal RNA". It matches the Rfam family "Bacterial small subunit ribosomal RNA", at positions 524 to 768 of the family's 1533-position model. Lineage: Bacteria; Bacillati; Bacillota; Clostridia; Eubacteriales; Syntrophomonadaceae. The record is from RNAcentral.
UACAUAGGGGGCGAGCGUUGUCCGGAAUUACUGGGCGUAAAGAGCACGUAGGCGGGAACUUAAGUCAGAUGUGAAAGACCGGGGCUCAACCUCGGGGUUGCAUCUGAAACUGGGUUUCUUGAGGGCAGGAGAGGACAGUAGAAUUCCUGGUGUAGCGGUGAAAUGCGUAGAAAUCAGGAGGAAUACCGGUGGCGAAGGCGACUGUCUGGACUGACCCUGACGCUGAGGUGCGAAAGCGUGGGGAG